RNAcentral lists this ribosomal RNA (410 nucleotides) under uncultured microorganism. Its description in RNAcentral is "bacterial SSU rRNA". It matches the Rfam family "Bacterial small subunit ribosomal RNA", at positions 509 to 917 of the family's 1533-position model. The record is from RNAcentral.
CAGCCGCCGCGGUAAUACGUAGGGUGCGAGCGUUAAUCGGAUUUACUGGGCGUAAAGCGUGCGCAGGCGGCCCGUUAAGACAGGUGUGAAAUCCCUGGGCUCAACCUAGGAAUUGCGCUUGUGACUGGCGGGCUCGAGUACGGUAGAGGGGGGUGGAAUUCCUGGUGUAGCAGUGAAAUGCGUAGAGAUCAGGAGGAACACCGAUGGCGAAGGCAGCCCCCUGGGCCUGUACUGACGCUCAUGCACGAAAGCGUGGGGAGCAAACAGGAUUAGAUACCCUGUUAGUCCACGCCCUAAACGAUGGGUACUAGCCGUUUGGUGCGCGAUAGCGCUGAGUGGCGAAGCUAACGCGUGAAGUCCCCCGCCUGGGGAGUACGGCCGCAAGGUUGAAACUUAAAGGAAUUGGCGGG